GUUCCCGUAGCUCAGCUGGAUAGAGCACCAGAUUCCUAAUCUGGGGGUCGUGGGUUCAAAUCCCGCCGGGGACGCCA
Molecule: transfer RNA, 77 nt
Filed under: Rhodospirillaceae bacterium
Lineage: Bacteria; Pseudomonadati; Pseudomonadota; Alphaproteobacteria; Rhodospirillales; Rhodospirillaceae
Description: tRNA-Arg
Rfam family: tRNA
About the family: Transfer RNA (tRNA) molecules are approximately 80 nucleotides in length.
Source: RNAcentral